GCUGGGCGUGGUGGCUCACGCCUGUAAUCCCAGCACUUUGGGAGGCCGAGGUGGGCGGAUCACCUGAGGUCAGGAGUUCGAGAGCAGCCUGGCCAACAUGGUGAAACCCCAUCUCUA
RNAcentral lists this non-coding RNA (117 nucleotides) under Gorilla gorilla gorilla (western lowland gorilla). Lineage: Eukaryota; Metazoa; Chordata; Mammalia; Primates; Hominidae. The record is from Rfam by way of RNAcentral.